Molecule: long non-coding RNA, 965 nt
Organism: Podarcis raffonei (Aeolian wall lizard)
Lineage: Eukaryota; Metazoa; Chordata; Lepidosauria; Squamata; Lacertidae
Exons: 3
Source: RefSeq, a predicted model, not a curated record
CUCAAGCAUCCAUGGCAGGUGGCCAAACAAUCUCAUCUCAAAAGCCUCCAAGGAAGGAGAGGCCACCACCUCUUGAGGGAGACCUUUCCACUGUCAAACAGCUCUUUCCCUUCCUGAUGUUCAGUUGGAAUCUCCUUCCUUGUAACUUGAAGCCAUGGGUUCGAAUCCUACCCUCCAGAGCAGGAGAAAACAACAUUGCUCCCUCUUCCGUGUGACAUCCCUUCAGAUAUUUGAAGAUGACUCCCCUAUCUCCUCUCAGACUCCUCUUUUCCGGGCUAAACAUACCCAGCUCCUUCAACCGUUCUUCAUCAGGCUUGGUUUCCAUAGUAACAUAGUAGAACAUCACACACACAUACAGUAUAUACACACACACCUAUUUCUGUUCCGGUGCUUGAAAGCCAGUGUCCUCAAAGGUCUAUCCAGGUGGAAUAGAAAAAACUGCAGCUUCCCCAAGCUUCCAUCUGCUCACCAUCGAUCACAGGUUAUAACGCUCAACUGGAGUAUUGUUAUCUUUCCAAGGGCAAGACCUGUGGAGUCCAUCAAUGGGAAGGGCAAGUAGCACACUUUUACAGGGUUGUUGCAAAGCAGAAGAGAUUUAAAAAUAUACCACCAGUUGCGCAUUCAAGGCAAAAACUAUAAUUUUAGCCCUGAAUCUACAACUUCAUAAUUCAUUUGGGAAAGUAGUUUCAGUGAAUGAAAAGGGAGUUUUGGUGUGCUAGUUUACAGGAUCAACAUAUACUGUGAGUCAUGGCACUUCAUUCCAGAGAAGUCUCAUUUGAGUCAGUGUGACUAAAGACAUUUCUUUCGCCAGAACUGCAAAUUUAAGCUGCAGUGUUGAGUUCAAUUAAUCUUGAAUUCUGAAGUAAAGGGGAAGUAUCUGCAACCACAGUGAACUGCAGCCAAGGCUAAAUGGGAGUGAUUGAUACAAUGAGGUCUAAAGUCGUUCCCUUGACUUAGAUUAUUGA